RNAcentral lists this ribosomal RNA (253 nucleotides) under uncultured bacterium. Its description in RNAcentral is "partial 16S ribosomal RNA". It matches the Rfam family "Bacterial small subunit ribosomal RNA", at positions 524 to 776 of the family's 1533-position model. The record is from RNAcentral.
UACAGAGGGUGCGAGUGUUAAUCGGAAUUACUGGGCGUAAAGCGCGCGUAGGCGGCAUUGCAAGUCGGGUGUGAAAUCCCCAGGCUUAACCUGGGAACUGCAUUCGAGACUGCAUUGCUAGAGUAUGGGAGAGGGAAGUGGAAUUUCCGGUGUAGCGGUGAAAUGCGUAGAUAUCGGAAGGAACAUCAGUGGCGAAAGCGACUUCCUGGACCAAUACUGACGCUCAUGUGCGAAAGCGUGGGGAGCAAACAGG